GUGCUCACUUCGGCAGCACAUAUACUAAAAUUGGAAUGAUACAGAGAAGAUUAGCAUGGCCCCUGAGCAAGGAUGACAUGCAAAUAAUAUCCAUACUUUCUGUAUUU
RNAcentral lists this small nuclear RNA (107 nucleotides) under Carlito syrichta (Philippine tarsier). The record is from RNAcentral. Lineage: Eukaryota; Metazoa; Chordata; Mammalia; Primates; Tarsiidae.